AAAAGUUUCACCAAAAAGUUUAACAAAAUAUUGUUUAAGAAAUUCAGUUUACAGCCUUUUACAUCAUAGAUCCGAAGGUUCUAGAAACAAUAAAGUUUACUGUAUGACUUUUAGUCAACACAUUUUCCAGAAAAAAAUUCAAAAUAUUCAACCACUAUCAUUUACUGUUCAUCAAAAUGUUGUUUCAGAAACUCAUUUUACAGCCUUUUACACAACAGAUCGGAAGGUUCUAGAAACAAAAACGAAAAAAAUCAAACAAAAAACAUGCAAAGCAAGUAAAAGCGAAGAAAUCGAGCAAAUAACACGUAAAAACAAGUUAAGAAAAAGGUAAAAACAACUUCAGAAAAGGUAAAUCAAAGAGACGAGCAAAUGACAUACAAAAACAAGCCAAAAAAAUGGUAAAAACAAGUAAACAACACAAAUCGAAGAGUCGAGCAAAUAACAUACAAAUACAAGCCAAAAAAUGGUAAAAACAAGCCAAAAAGAAAGGUAAAAACGAAGAAAUCGAGUAAAUAAAAUACAAAAACAAGCCAAAAAAUGGCAAAAUAAUGAAAUCCACCAAAUAACAUGCCACAAAAAAAGUAAAAAAAAAAAUGGGUAAAAUCGACGAAACCGAGCAAAUAACAUUCAAAUAAAAGUACAAAAACAAA
Long non-coding RNA from Lycium ferocissimum, 650 nucleotides. RefSeq lists it as uncharacterized. The transcript has 2 exons. NCBI's taxonomy places the organism in Eukaryota, Viridiplantae, Streptophyta, Magnoliopsida, Solanales, Solanaceae. The record is from RefSeq and is a predicted model, not a curated record.